RNAcentral lists this long non-coding RNA (9260 nucleotides) under Marmota monax (woodchuck). The stretch from base 5201 to 5271 matches the Rfam family "tRNA". Lineage: Eukaryota; Metazoa; Chordata; Mammalia; Rodentia; Sciuridae. The record is from RNAcentral.
GGACUACAUCACAAAAAGUGUAGAAAAGUAUCAUUAACAGCCUUUUGUCCUUCAUAAGAUAGUAUUGUGUAUUUGGGAAAUAUCUACCAGCUACCUUCAGCAGGAAGGCCAAGUUUCUAUAGUUCUCUAGCAUCACAUCUCUAUAUAAAUUUUUCUGAGCAGGCUGAAGGCAGUCCCACUCCUCUUCAGUAAAAUCAAUGGAUAUAUCCAUAAAUGUUAACAGUUCCAUUUCCUGGCUCUCAGGGUUCUCAGCGUUCUCCCUGUGGUUUGUUUUCAGAUUCUGCAUAGCACAGACACCUGGGCUCCGGAUCCAGAACAGAAGCCUACAAAAAGAUUUUUUAAAUGGCGGGUUCCAGACACCAAGGGAAGAGAAGUUUGUGGAAGCCCGCCCCCUCAUCACUCUUGUUUAUCCCUUUUGAUUAACUUUGACUUGAAGUCUAUUUUAUUUGAUCAAGUAUGGACACCCCUGCUUGCUUCCGGGGUCCGUAUGAGUGAUAUGAUUUUUCCCAACCCUUCACCUUCAGUCUGUGUAUGUCUUUUCCAAUCAGAUGAGUCUCCUGUAGGCAGCAUAUUGUUGGAUCUUUUUUUAAAUCCAUUCUACUAGCCUAUGUCUUUUGAUUGGUGCAUUUCAGCCAUUAACAUUUAGGGUUACUAUUGAGAUAUGGUUUGUAUUUCCAGCCAUAUUUGAUUAUGUAUGUUACUUAACAUGAUUUGUUUUUCCUCUAUGCUUAGUUUUUCCUUUACUGUACUACCUCCCGCUGUUGGUUUUUAUUGUUAUUUUUCAUUUCCUCUUCCUGUAAUGUUUUGCCAAGGAUGUUUUGAAGAGCUGGUUUUCUAGCUGCAAAUUCUUUUAACUUUUGUUUAUCGUGGAAGAUUUUUAUUUCAUCUUCAAUCCUGAAGCUUAAUUUCGCUGGAUACAUUGUUGCAGUAAUUCACGUGCAGGUCAGCAUGGGAAAAGAAAGAAGAAGCAGAGCAAGCAAAGCAGCAGCAGAAAAAAAGUCCUUUGUUGUGUACAAGCAAUCUUUUUAUAGUAUUGUGAACAAAGAAGUCAGCCUUCCAACAUCAAUAAAUCAGGUCUUUCAGCUAAUUAAACAUAACACACAGAAGUUUUACUUUCUAAUCAGAAGUGACCCGCUUCUCAUGGCUAAUCUACUCUCGGCCUGGAGUAUGCUGAGCUCUGCUCUUUGUUAAGAACAGAUAAUAAAAUUUUUCUCAGCGCCCUCCUAGCCCACUUGGCAGAACAUCCCGUUUGCAGGCAAGUCCUCCCAAGGACAGCAGACACCUCGCUUUCAAGCAUGUCCUCUGUUACCUUAUCUAAACCUUGAAGGAACCUCUCGUUUGCGAGCAGGCCCUUCCAAGGACAGCAGACAUCUCGUUUUCAAGCAUGUCCGCUGUUACCUAUCUAUAUCUCGACAGAAUAUCCUGUUUGCAGGCAAACUCCAUCAAGGACAGGAAUAGUAACGCAGUCACAUCUGAUUCUCUACAUACAUGAUUCUUGGUUGGAACCCUUUUUCUUUCAUUGUUUGAAAUAUGUUGUUCCACAAUCUUCUAGCUUUCAGAGUCUGUGUUGAAAGAUCAGCUGUUAUCCUGAUUGGUUUACCGCUAAAUAUAAUCUGCUUCCUCUCUCUUGUGGCUUUUAAGAUUCUCUCCUUAUUCUGUAUGUUGGGCAUCUUCAUUAUUAUGUGUCUUGGUGUGGAUCUCUUAUGAUUUUGUACAUUUGGUGUCCUGUAGGCUUCUAGUAUUUGGAUUUCUUUUUCAUUCUUUAAGUCUGGGAAGUUUUCUGGUAUUAUUUCAUUGAAUAGAUUGCUCAUUCCCUUGGUUUGGACCUCUAUACCCUCUUGUAUCCCAAUAACUCUUAGGUUUGGUUUCUUGAUGUUAUCCCAUAAUUCUUGGAUGUUCUGUUCAUGAUUUCUUAACAUUCUCGCUGAGCUGUCUAUGUUCUUUUCAAGUUGAAAAACUUUGUCUUUGUUGUCUAAAGUUCUAUCUUCUAAGUGUUCUACUCUGCUGGUAAUACUCUCAUUUGAGUUUUUAAUUUGGUUUAUUGUUUCCUGCAUUUCCAGGAUUUCUGUUUGUUUGUUCUUUAUAUCCUCUAUCUCCCUAUAGAGUUGAUCUUUUGCUUCUUGGAUUUGUUUAUGUAAUUUUUUGUCAAAGUGAUUUUUCAUUGUCUGAAUUUGCUGUAUAAUGUCUUCCUUGAGACUACAGAUCAUCUGAAGCAUGUAUAUCCUGAACUCUUUGUCUGACAUUCCAUCAGCUGCAGAUAUUACCUCAUCUAAUGUUGAAUUGACCUGUAUUGUUUGUGGUCCUUUCUUUCCUUGUCUUUUCAUACUGCUCAUGAUUCUUUCUAGCUUUGUGAAACUGUUGUGCUAAUGUUUUUCCCCUUAUAUAUUUGUAUUGUUCUUGUAUAGCUCCAAAAUCCCUCUUUUACAGAGAAAGACAAUGUUAACAGUUCCCCAUAUCAACAGUACAUUAUCUAAGCACAAGUUUUCAUUAUUAAUACAUUUAUAGUUAGAUUCUAAGACUAUAGAUAUUGGUUUUAAUUAUUACUUUAGAAUAUAUUCAUUAGUUUCAUAAAAGGCGUACCAUAUCUGGUGGCAUAUAGAAAACAAUUUCAGACGAAGGAUGUUAUACUUAGAGGGAAAGGAGUGAGGGUAUGAGGUUAAACUAACUUAGCACCUUUGGAGAACUCUAACCAAUAGACUGGUAAUUUAUGGAAGAAUGUAUAGACUCAACCUCCUAUCUGUAUUUAAAUAGUUACCCUAUGUAUAGAUAGCAAAAUUUAGGAGAUUGAAAGUGGGAUAGAGAGAAUAUGAAUGAAAAAAAAAAAGAAAAAAAAUAACAAGGAAGAAAAGAGAAAUAAGAGAAGGAAAAGGAAAGUAAGAUAGAAAUAAAGAAAAAAAAUGGGGGGAAGGUGGGGUAUAUGCAAUUCCUCUAUAUUAUAUUACUUUGGUAAUUUGGUUGUUCAUGCACAGUUCUUGGUUUCACGUAUGCUGAAGUUGUGGAAGAGAGAGAAGAAAAGAGAGAAAUAAAGAGAAAAAAAAAAGGUCUCUCAGAACACUGUUUUCCUUGCUUCCAGUAGGUGGCGUUGUCUAUUCCUAUCUUGAGCCUCUGUGUUCAGGGUGGUGGGUAUAGCCAGUGUGAAAGGAAAUGAGCUUCCACCUGUAUCUUCCCUACUCUAAUCUCUGAGGUAGAAACCAGGUGCCUGUACAGUUGUUGUUUUGCAUUGAUAGCUACAACCCCCAAAAGCUUGUGGGAAAUAUUUUGAGUUAUGGCAGCUAAGGGUGGGGGAGUUGGAAACCGGGUACCUGGAUCAGCCGCAGAACCGUGCUGGUAGCCACACCCCCUUUGAUGGGUUUUAAGGGUUGAUGGGUUUCCUCCGGACUAGCACACGGGGCAGGGCCGGACUUCCUCCUCCGGUCUGGCUUGGCACCGGGCCGGGACACAGUUUAGUUACCUAUUCUCCUGUAAAUGACUGUGGGUUCCACCUCACUAAUAUUCCCAUAUUUAAAGCAGAAAUUGGGUAAGCAUGACAAAAACAAAGGUAAGAUUUUCCUUGGGUGUACCUCUAGUACUGAACUUGACUGUUCACUCAUUCACCUUUUGUAGGUAUUAGAAACGUUUCUCCAAUAAUCUAGUAAUGAAGGUAAAAUCCAAAUAAAUACCUCUACCUCUGCCUUCUUUGAGAUAAAUUUAAAAUUCACUAAUUUUGGAGGUCAUGCUGCUGAGCUACAUAGUAUUUGUCUCCCAGUACUUUGAUGUGCAAAACACUUCUUAUAUGAUGCAAUGAUGAUAAGAUUUGCUGAGGAGUCUUUAAAGGAAUUUGAAGACCAUUUUGGUAAAGGCCAUGACUGUUCACUUGGUCCUGCAGAUUUGUAAUGGUUAGCUAAAAAAGCGGAAUUGAGAAGCUUGCCAUCUUGGCCUUCUUGUAGGGUCUCUCUUCUGUGAUGCUCUAAAAGCUUGGGUCAGGUUUCUGUUCAACUCUCCAGCUGAACCUAUUCGUCCUUUCUCAAGUGGCUCAUAAAAUACAAGGUUAAUUUCACCUAAAUGUGUCUAACUUAUCUCCUCCCAUGAAGGCUGAGUACAGUAAGACAAAGUGAACUAAAACAAUGUCCCAUCCAGGCCUUGGGAGUGGCCCUAGAUGUCUCCAGUCAUCAGUCCUUCCUGCCCACUCCCCACCUGCUCCUUCUUCCCCCCCCCCACUGUGUGGCUCUUCUGCACACUAGGGUCCCUGUGGUGGCUUUGCUGGUCAGAGCCUCCCACCUUCUUUGGCUUCCUAGCUGUCCAAACCAAUCUUUCUCCUUCCCCAAAGCUUGGCCUCAAAAUCUUAGUCUUUUUCAGUUUUUUCAGGGUGAAGUAAAUGAAUUCGGUUCUGUUUUCAAUUAGUGAUGACUUUCCUCUUUAAGAACUUUCUAAUGUUCUUAAUUAUUAUCUGGGCUUUGUGUAGUUUUCUUUAUUUUUUCUUUCUGGCUUUUAUGUGGGUUGUCAAGGAUAUGAGCAGAGGUUCUUUUUUACUGCUAAUUUUGGCUUCUCUUAUACCCAUUAUCUCGCUCCCAAUAUGGAGAACUAAGAGAUGGCAUCAUACAGAAUGACUUGGUUUAUGCAGUUUGCUGGCAGUGUCUCCCAUGAAAUUUCUUUUAGCUAAAAUUGAACAAGCAGUAAAAUGUUUUUCUCAGUGACAUGGAUAGGUCGGUACUUUGGACUGCCUACAACAAAGAAUGAAUUCAAGUAUGAUCAUAGUCAUAUCCUCUCUCUCUCUCUCUCUCUUUCCACUGCCCCCCCCUUUCCUCUUCCCAUCUCUGGAUUUACUUCUCCUCAAACUGAAUAAUUCACACCACAGUGUUCAGAAAAACAACAAACAUUAUCCCAAGCAACUCAAAUUCUGACCCUUUCAACAGAGAGAUAUUAUUCAUAAACCUAUAAAACUAAAGUUAAAAACAGAUAAAAACAAUAAAAAUUAUCAUAAAUAAAGUUGAACUUCAAAGAAGUGCCAGCAACAUUACAAUCUUCCAAUUCAAGAAGGCAUAUAAACACAGUGGUGGAAGAGAAGAAAAACAAUGUUGAAAUGAUAAAGACUCUCUCUGAAAAUGAUUUUUUAAACAACAGACAAAGAUUUACAGACUCAGAAAAAAUUGCCAUUUCAAGGAAAGGAUCCGAUAUUUUUAAUCAAGAGAACAUUCAUAAAAUAUGAUGAGUAUUGGGCUGGGGAGGUAGCCCAGUUGGUAGAGUACUUGCCUUGCAUGUAUAAGGCCCUGGGUUCAAUCCCCAGUACCACCAAAAAAAAAAAAUCUUAACAUAAAGUAUGAUGAGUAUUAAGCUGACAUAUCUAUAGGGCAAACCAGUAAGUGGAAACAUUAACUCUGAAUAGCCAAUGUUGAUUCAUAUCCAUGUAAACUAUGUAGCUAGAAGCACCCUGGUAACUUCAAGCUUCCACAAAGGACAAAGUAAUUAAAAAUCCUUACUUCUAACUUCUAACUAAUUCAAGAUAUAUGAUGCAUUAUUGUUAACAUAGUGGCACACUGUGCCAUGGAACACCAGGACAUAUUCCUCCAAUCUACCUAUAAAACUGUUUCCAUUGAACAAAUUCCCUCCUUGUCUCCUCCGGACCCUCCCUGGUCUCUGGUCAGCACUAUUCUGCUGUUCUGAUGUAAUCUUUCCUAUAUUCCACACAAGUGUAGUAUUGCUGUUCCUGUGGCUGGCUUCCUUCACUGAUAAUGUCAUGCAGGUCCAUCUAUGUGGCUGUAAGUAAUAGGACUGCAUUUUUUAGACUGAACAGAUUCCAUUGCUUCUAUGUAUCACACUCUUAUUAGCCAUACGUCAGUUAACAAAUAUUUAGCUACCAGAGAAUUUCUUCAUAUUGACCUGAUAUGUCACAAUACUCACAUUCAGUGGCAGUAAAGAAUGAGGGAGCCUGGCACAGUGGUACAUGCCUAUAAUCACAGCAGCUCAGGAGGCUGAGGCAGGAGCCUCAAGAGGAGGAUCAUGAGUUCAAAGCCAGCUUCAGCAAAAGUGAGGUGCUAAGCAACUCAGUGAGACCCUGUCUCUAAAUAAAAUACAAAAUAGGGCUGGGGACGUGGCUCAGUGCUCAAGUUCCCCUGAGUUCAAUUUCCAGUACCCAAAACAAAACAAAACAAAACAAAAAAGAGUGCAGGAAAUUCUAUAGAAAUAUUCCUGUAAGUAUGUGUCCCAAUAAUUAUAUAUAGCCAGCUGAACUUCACAUUGACUAUAAUUUUGUAUGCACAAUGAAGAAGAUCUUGGUCACUGUUCUCACCUGCUAUUCUGCAGGAAUCCACUAGGCAUCAGCACUGUUCCCUCUCCAUAUAUAUAAUACAGUUUUGGACACCAAGGACACCAUGGACACCAAGGCCCAUGAACUUGGAGAGUGUUGAACUAGUGAACUUAGUAAAUGCUGUCCACACAGGAAAAAUGGCAGGGUGACUUUACUUGUGCAAGAAUCAGAUGACAUAAAUUUGGAUUUGCACCUCAUAUUUUAUCAGUGGUAAGAACUUAGAAAGUUUGCUUAACAUUUUAGGGCACAUACUUUCUCCAUUAAUAAAUUGGAUUCAUAACUUUGUAUGCCAUCUGGAGUGGGAGGUUUGUUUUAUAAUAGAAUAAUAACUUUAAAUGGUCAUUUAAUUAUUAUUAGUAGUAGUACUAGAAGCAAGAAUAGCAGUAGCAAUUUUGCUUAAAUAAAACACUUCCUUAGCACUUACCCUGUGCUAAGUAUUGCUUGCCACAUAAUAUUAUGUAUAGUAAAGCAAAUUUAUGUGUAGAGUGCAAUUGUUAACUGCAUUUUCAUGAAAGGAAAAUGGUGCAGAAAGCAGUAUGCACCACACAGUGAAUGUAAAAGCCUGCAGUUGAAUCUAGAGACUGACAACAGAGACAGCAUUUAUAAAAUUACUAAUUACUUAAGAUGAUAAUUUUACUCAGUGGAAGAAAUGACAAUCAAAUUCUAUUUUAUUCAAACACAGGUGGCUAACUGGACAUUUCAGGCAUCAUUUCCAGCAAGGCCUAAAUGUGGCUCUUGGGUUUCAGAACCAGAAGUACUAAUUGGAAGUACUCACCGGGGAAAACACACAGUCAUGAAGAUUAGCAAUAGAAAAGAGUUUGGAAAUCAUUCUCACCUACUCUCUAGCAGGUGUGAACAUCAGAUAUUACUUUUCAGGAUCACAAAGCAGGUCAUGGACACUAGACUCAUGAACAACAACAAUCAUUCUUCUCCAUAGCUCAGAAGCUGCCCUGUUUGGGCCUGAAUGCUCUCUCCACAUUAAGGCACAAAUUCAUCAUACAAAAUCUAUGAAGAAGGCCUGGUCUGUUAAUUCAACCAAUGGUGGUUGAUCAUGUGCUCAUUUUCAAGCAAUGUUUAUCUUAGUGGGGUAAAUUGUUAAAGCGAAGUUUCCACCAUCUUAGAGUAUGGAAUGUAGCUGAAGAGAAAGAUAAUAAAUCCACACAUUCACAGAAAUGAAUGUAAGUGUAGGUAAGGAUGCAAAUGUAUGAAAUCAGGCAGAGAUACCCACUGUGGAAUAUUAAGUCAUGGUAAGGGAAAGAUGGAGGUAUCCCAGUCGCCAUCUUAGAGAAUGAGUAAGAAGGCCUCUCUCAAGCCAGUGAAAUAGAUUUUCUAAGAUAUGAGAAAUGGAGGAAUGGAGAAAGAAUUACCUGCCAUCUUUCAGGAAUACUUUUGGCAGACAGAGCCAAAAUGUAAAUGACCUGAAUUCAAAUUGUGUUUAGCUGUUUGAGGAAUGGCAGGAAGGCUGCCUGGUUUGCAUGGCUGUGACUUCUACUCAGUUCUAGAGGUAUAUUGAGAGGAUGGCCCAAUCAAAAACUCUGAUAUGCAGAGUUUCAGGAAGAUUUGUGUGUCAGAUGCACAGUUGUUCAACCCUCUAAGUCAAUCAGUCCUCAUCGAAGCAUUGUGGUUCAGGCCUGUGUCUUAGCUACUAUAUGACUGAGGCAGGUGGAUUGCAUGUAAAACAUUACUCUGGGCAACUUAGUAAGACUCUGUCUCAAAAUACAGAAUACUAAGUGCUGCAGAUGUGAGUCAGGGGGAGAGCUCUUGCCUACUUCACAUGAGACACAAAUCAAACAGAAUAAAUAUCAAAACAAAAAUCAAGACAAAUCCAUGAAAGCUGAAUACAUGCUUUCUUCUGGUGCUGUGCUCCUAUGAAAUACGGGUAUUAAACAACCCCUGUCACAGGUACAGAUUGAAUCAUUCAACUAACGUACUCAUAAUAUGGGGGAAAAUUCAGGAUUUGAACCUUAGUCUACCUGAUAAUAAUAUUAGAUAUUCUACAUUGUAUUUACAGCUGCAUUGCAAAGCAUUCUAAAAUGCAAACUGGCAAAAAUAUCUUCACUUUUGUAAAAGGUGAAAACUGAUCCACUGCACCUUCUCAUCUCUAUCAGAAUCAAUGGCAAUUUUCAUUUCCUGAGAUUGGUGGUUCCAUAUGAAAGAUACGAAACCCAAGCACAGCUCUGCCAUUUAGUAGGGUUAUGACUUUCAGUAAAAUUGCUUCCUUUUUACAUUAAUGUGUUAUUGGUGCAUUAGGAUGACACAGAAUAGUUGGGCUCAUGGUGAUAUGUCCACACAUGCACACAGCAUAAUUAGGUCUGUUUCAUUGCUGCACACACACUUUCCCCUUCCCUCCUUUCCUCCCUUUUCUAAUUAAUUUCCAAGACUCUACUGUCUCUUCUAUUAUUUAUUUAUUAUCUUUAUUCUUUCCAGCUUCUGCAUAUGAGAUAAAUAUAUGACCAUUAAUGUUUUGAAUCUUACUUAUCUCACUUAAAAAGAUGUUUUCCAUUUUCAUUCAUUUUCCUGCAAAUGAGAUAAUUUUGUUCUUCUUUAUGGUUGAAUAAAUCUUCCUGGUGUAUAUAUACCACAUUUUUUAUCCAUUCAUCAAUUGACCGGUUGAUUCUCUGAACUUGGUUAUUAGGAAUCUCACUGGUAUAAACAUGGGUGUGCAUGUAUUGCUAUAUAGUAUGUUGACUGGAAUUCUUUUGAAUAAAUACCAAGCUAUGAUAAAGCUGGGUCAUGUGGUGACUUCAUUCCUAGUCUUUUGAAAAAUCUCUAUUUCUAUCUCCAUAGUGGUUGUGCUGAUUUAUAAUUCUACCAACAGUGCACAGGUGCCCCUUUCUCCUGUACCCUCCCCAGAAUGUAUUAUUAUUCUUCAUACUUGACAUUCUAACUGGAUUGAGAUGAAAUCUAAUAGUCGUUUUGAUUUGCAUUUCCCUGAUUGCUAAGUAUAUUGAACAUUGUUUUAUAUACUUUUUGGCUA